Long non-coding RNA from Oncorhynchus tshawytscha (Chinook salmon), 1308 nucleotides. RefSeq lists it as uncharacterized. NCBI's taxonomy places the organism in Eukaryota, Metazoa, Chordata, Actinopteri, Salmoniformes, Salmonidae. The transcript is spliced from 3 exons. The record is from RefSeq and is a predicted model, not a curated record.
UUCUGUGGAAAACUCAGCCAGAAGCUAGUAAGUGUCAAGUGAAUCCACAACAUCACCACCAAAUGUAUUUUCAAGCCAGGUAUCGUUUGAGAUACUAGCUAGUGGUGUUAUAAUGUCACAAUUUAUUAAAUAGAUAGAUGAUCUGCUCUAUAAAAGGUUUUAAAUAGGUAACGUUAGUUAUGUAGACUAUGUUAGCUAGCUACUGUUAUGGCAGCUAGGUUCAUGUAAACAUGCAGUGGACGGGCUAUUUUGAAAAUAUUAUUAUAUUAAAUGAAUGCACAAUGAAUUCUGAGAAUAUUUUUGUAGAUUACAAUUUUAAUGGUUUGGCAUUAUAAGUAGUGUGAAAAUAUAUUUAGAAAUGUUCAUGGAUAACAUUAGGAGUGGAGAGAAAGGAGAGGAGGAAGACUGGAUAGGAAGAAGACACAGAGGAGGAAAGAUUGGAGAGGAAGGAGAAUGGAAGAUUAAGGGAGUAAAAAGAGUGAAGCAAGGAGAGUGUAGAAGAGUGAGGUGGAAAGGUGAAGAGAAGGACAGGAAGACGAGUGAAGAAAAGAGGAGGAGAAAGAUUGGAGGAGAAGAACAAGUUAAGAGAGUAAGAAGAGUGACACAAGGAGAGUGUAGAAGAGUGAGGUGGAAAGGUGAAGAGAAGGACAGGAAGACGAGUGAAGAAAAGAGGAGGAGAAGAACAAGUUAAGAGAGUAAGAAGAGUGACACAAGGAGAGUGUAGAACAGACAGAGGAGAUACAGAUAAUCUAAAAGAUUCACAUGGUCUCCUUUUAAAAAGGCAACCUCUGCGUGAAGAGAUCCAGAAGGCAGCAGGCACACUGCAGGAAAAAUGCCCCCAUGUGACCAUCAAUGAGGAUGUAUUGUGUAACGAGGUUACUGGCCUGCAAGAGUUCCUAAAGGGGGGGAUCGCUUGAAGAAUGGAAAACAUCUGAGACACGGCUUAGUCAAAGAUGGAGCACGGUGGUUACCCACUUCAAAGACAACGACAUCCCACACACUAACCUGGCUAGAUUAGCGUCUGUUGUCAUCUGCUUACCUGGAAGUAAUGCACCAGUUGAGAGAGUGUUCUCCCAAAUGAAUGACAUAUGGACGGCAGCAAGAAAUAGGUUCACUGUUCCUGCCAUCAAGGCCAUGCUUAUUGUGAAGACAAACUUCAACCUCCCCUGCCAGGAGUUAAUGGAGAAGCUGGCCAAAGACAGAGCAAUCCUGAAUAAGAUACAUUCUUCUGAGAAAUAUACAGAUUAGACUACCAGGACCACUGAAUGGCUGUUCAGAUCAGUUCUACCCAGACUACCAGGACCACUG